UACGUAGGGGGCUAGCGUUGUCCGGAAUCAUUGGGCGUAAAGCGCGUGUAGGCGGCCCGGUAAGUCCGCUGUGAAAGUCGGGGGCUCAACCCUCGAAUGCCGGUGGAUACUGUCGGGCUAGAGUACGGAAGAGGCGAGUGGAAUUCCUGGUGUAGCGGUGAAAUGCGCAGAUAUCAGGAAGAACACCGAUGGCGAAAGCAGCUCUCUGGGGCGGUACUGACGCUGAGGCGCGAAAGCGUGGGGAGCGAACAGG
Molecule: ribosomal RNA, 253 nt
Filed under: uncultured bacterium
Lineage: Bacteria
Description: partial 16S ribosomal RNA
Rfam family: Bacterial small subunit ribosomal RNA
Source: RNAcentral